Long non-coding RNA from Mirounga angustirostris (Northern elephant seal), 396 nucleotides. RefSeq lists it as uncharacterized. The record is from RefSeq and is a predicted model, not a curated record. The transcript has 3 exons. Lineage: Eukaryota; Metazoa; Chordata; Mammalia; Carnivora; Phocidae.
CGAUUGGGCUGCUAAGGCAAAGAAGCGUUUCUAACUUGUAGUAUCAGAGACAGCAAGCUUUGAAGGGGUUGGGACGAUGUGGUGAUCUUUGUGUGACCUCACGAAGCACAUGAAACCCACGUUCUGUGUCUUGUGCAUCUUCUUCCAAGUGGAAUUUCUCCCGCAUGUUGGCUUCCUGGACCAAUUCCUGAGCCAGCUGCUGCCAAGGAGGAGGAGGACCAGGAUCUGCAGAAGCUGUUCCAACUGCCCUCAGUUGUUCUUCGGGAGGAUCUGCUCUAUACAUAGGUGGAGAUUGGUGUAUCUGGAGAAGAGACAAAGAAAACGGCAGUGUCGAGAAACCCAGCUAAUUCUGUCUCAGCUGCAGUCCACCUGCACCCUCUGCCUGCUGCCCACUGC